GUCCACGCCGUAAACGAUGGAUACUAGCUGUUGGGAGCAAUUUCAGUGGCUAAGCGAAAGUGAUAAGUAUCCCACCUGGGGAGUACGGGCGCAAGCCUGAAACUCAAAGGAAUUGAUGGGGGCCCCGCACAAGCGGUGGAGCAUGUGGUUUAAUUCGAUGAUACGCGAGGAACCUUACCAAGGCUUAAAUGUAGAUUGACCGGUUUGGAAACAGACUUUUCGCAAGACAAUUUACAAGGUGCUGCAUGGUUGUCGU
This 256-nucleotide ribosomal RNA is filed under the name uncultured bacterium. RNAcentral describes it as "partial 16S ribosomal RNA". It matches the Rfam family "Bacterial small subunit ribosomal RNA", at positions 793 to 1055 of the family's 1533-position model. The record is from RNAcentral.